CCUACGGGAGGCAGCAGUGAGGAAUAUUGGUCAAUGGGCGCGAGCCUGAACCAGCCAAGUAGCGUGAAGGAUGACUGCCCUACGGGUUGUAAACUUCUUUUAUGAGGGAAUAAAGUGAGGCACGUGUGCCUUUUUGUAUGUACUUUAUGAAUAAGGAUCGGCUAACUCCGUGCCAGCAGCCGCGGUAAUACGGAGGGUCCGAGCGUUAUCCGGAUUUAUUGGGUUUAAAGGGAGCGUAGAUGGGUGGUUAAGUCAGUUGUGAAAGUUUGCGGCUCAACCGUAAAAUUGCAAUUGGUACUGGCGGGCUUGAGUACAGUGGAGGUAGGCGGAAUUCGGGGUGUAGCGGUGAAAUGCUUAGAUAUCGCGCAGAACUCCGAUUGCGAAGGCAGCAUACCGGCGGCGAUCUGACGCUGAGGCACGAAGGCGUGGGUAUCGAACAGGAUUAGAUACCCUUGUAGUC
RNAcentral lists this ribosomal RNA (460 nucleotides) under uncultured bacterium. Its description in RNAcentral is "partial 16S ribosomal RNA". It matches the Rfam family "Bacterial small subunit ribosomal RNA", at positions 338 to 795 of the family's 1533-position model. The record is from RNAcentral.